CAGGCCUAACACAUGCAAGUCGAGCGGAAAGGCCACUUCGGUGGUACUCGAGCGGCGAACGGGUGAGUAACACGUGAGUAAUCUGCCCCUGGCUUUGGGAUAGCCACCGGAAACGGUGAUUAAUACCGGAUACGACAACUUCUCGCAUGGGAUGGUUGUGGAAAGUUUUUCGGCCAGGGAUGUGCUCGCGGCCUAUCAGCUUGAUGGUGAGGUAAUGGCUCACCAUGGCUUCGACGGGUAGCCGGCCUGAGAGGGUGACCGGUCACACUGGGACUGAGACACGGCCCAGACUCCUACGGGAGGCAGCAGUGGGGAAUAUUGGACAAUGGGCGGAAGCCUGAUCCAGCAACGCCGCGUGAGGGAUGACGGCCUUCGGGUUGUAAACCUCUUUCGCCUGUGACGAGCGCAAGUGACGGUAACAGGUAAAGAAGCACCGGCCAACUACGUGCCAGCAGCCGCGGUAAUACGUAGGGUGCGAGCGUUGUCCGGAAUUAUUGGGCGUAAAGGGCUCGUAGGCGGUUUGUCGCGUCGGGAGUGAAAACCAGGUGCUUAACACCUGGCUUGCUUUCGAUACGGGCAGACUAGAGGUAUUCAGGGGAGAACGGAAUUCCUGGUGUAGCGGUGAAAUGCGCAGAUAUCAGGAGGAACACCGGUGGCGAAGGCGGUUCUCUGGGAAUGACCUGACGCUGAGGAGCGAAAGUGUGGGGAGCGAACAGGAUUAGAUACCCUGGUAGUCCACACCGUAAACGUUGGGCGCUAGGUGUGGGGUCCAUUCCACGGAUUCCGUGCCGCAGCUGACGCAUUUAGCGCCCCGCCUGGGGAGUACGGCCGCAAGGCUAAAACUCAA
RNAcentral lists this ribosomal RNA (847 nucleotides) under uncultured bacterium. RNAcentral describes it as "bacterial SSU rRNA". It matches the Rfam family "Bacterial small subunit ribosomal RNA", at positions 43 to 904 of the family's 1533-position model. The record is from RNAcentral.